GGGCCCGUAGUUUAGCCCGGUAUAACGCAUCGUUGACGUCGAUGAGGUCGCCAGUUCAAAUCUGGCCGGGCCCA
RNAcentral lists this transfer RNA (74 nucleotides) under Candidatus Woesearchaeota archaeon. RNAcentral describes it as "tRNA-Val". It matches the Rfam family "tRNA". From Rfam's summary of the family: Transfer RNA (tRNA) molecules are approximately 80 nucleotides in length. Lineage: Archaea; Nanobdellati; Candidatus Woesearchaeota. The record is from RNAcentral.